Molecule: ribosomal RNA, 275 nt
Filed under: Vibrio alginolyticus
Lineage: Bacteria; Pseudomonadati; Pseudomonadota; Gammaproteobacteria; Vibrionales; Vibrionaceae
Description: partial 23S ribosomal RNA
Source: RNAcentral
CGGGUUGUAUGGUUAAGUGACUAAGCGUACACGGUGGAUGCCUUGGCAGUCAGAGGCGAUGAAGGACCAAAAAACACAUUCAAGUGUUCUUGGGAAUAUCACUUUUAAGUGAUUAUUCGAAAUUGAGUCCGGCAAAAUCGAAAUGUCUCUCGCUCAUUCAAAUAAUGAGAGACAACUUUGGUGAUUUGAACAUCAACUCGAAACUCCUUCGGGUUGUAUGGUUAAGUGACUAAGCGUACACGGUGGAUGCCUUGGCAGUCAGAGGCGAUGAAGGA